CCUGGUGGCUCAGAUGGUAAAGUGUCUGCCUAAGAUGCAGGAGACCCAGGUUGGAUCCCUGGGUCAGGA
This 69-nucleotide transfer RNA is filed under the name Bos taurus (domestic cattle). It matches the Rfam family "tRNA". Rfam says of the family: Transfer RNA (tRNA) molecules are approximately 80 nucleotides in length. Their secondary structure includes four short double-helical elements and three loops (D, anti-codon, and T loops). Lineage: Eukaryota; Metazoa; Chordata; Mammalia; Artiodactyla; Bovidae. The record is from Rfam by way of RNAcentral. RNAcentral also lists the same sequence under 1 other name.